Molecule: long non-coding RNA, 3164 nt
Filed under: Glycine max (soybean)
Lineage: Eukaryota; Viridiplantae; Streptophyta; Magnoliopsida; Fabales; Fabaceae
Description: long non-coding RNA (GMAX_LNC000318)
Source: RNAcentral
ACUGUUAUGGUCCUUAGUUCAUAAAUGUUCUUUUUUGAUAAAGCUUGAUUUAUUAACCCCACCCUUCAUGCCAUAUGCAUUUCAAUGACACCGGUUCUAUCACUUUUUUCCCACAAUAGUCCAUGACUUUUCCAAAGUGCUUGAGUGAUUGAGAAUGGGUUUUCUUCCCUCAUCUUCUGUUCUGUUUUGUUUUUCUUCUACGACUUCCUACUUCUACACACAUGAACCGUGUUCUAGUAGUUUUCAACCUUGGCAGUUCUACUAUUGUUGUUUCUUGUUGCUCACGACACCCCUGUUGUUGCUUUAUGAUCAUGUUGUGAGUCCGUGCUAGAAUAUGUCGCUUCUGCGAGUGUAUGUAUGCGUGUGAGGUUGAUUCAACAUUUAUUUGUUAGUAUUUUUUUUUAUCGGCAAAGAUAAUAUUUUUUUAUUAGCAAAGAUAAUAUAUUAUAUAUUGAAAGAAGUACCAGAGGUACUUAAAAUACAAAAAGAGUCCAUAUAUAUGGUUCCACAGUCAGACAUUAAUAUUCUGAGGGGGAACCAAGCUAUGGAUACAAUAUGCAUAUGAAUUUACAUGUAUAGAGCUCAUAACUAUGCAAUCCCCUGCUGAUACAUAAAACAUUGUGGAAAAUUACUUGACCAUUGAUUAAAAUGCACUGUGAAAUCCUUCUCAAAACUCCUAAGCCAAGACCAUAGGAGGAAUAUUGCUUCUUCAAACAAUUUAUUAGCAUUAAAAUUUGCAUUAGAGAACACUAUACUGUUUCUAAGUUUCCAUAUGGACCAAGUUAAAGCUAACCACCAGCAUUGCCAUCUAUUAUUCCUUACACCAACAGCUUGAACACCCAAAUGUUGAAGGAAAUGCUGCUUUGGGCUUAAUGGAAAAGCACCCUUAAUUUGCAGCCAUGACAUGGUUUCCCACCAAAUGGGUUGUACUUUACUGCAGUGAAAGAAAAGAUGGGAUGCAUCCUCUUCUUGGGUUCUGCAGAGAGGACAUAUUGUAUCUGUGAGUUGUAUUUGUCUUCUCUGUAAGUUUUGUCUUGUCGGCAGUCUGUCUCUUAUUAAUCUCCACGCAAACACCACAAACCUAGCUGGAAUCCUUAUCCUCCAUAAUUUCUCGAAGCACUCCUCCUGACUGCCAUCUCCUACUUAUUCUCUUAUCAAAUUGUAUGCGUUGUGUGUUGAAUAUUGUCCCGCUGGAUCUCCAGACCACUCCCAAGCAUCUGAAACCUGUUGUUGUACUUUCUUUUAUGCAAUAUCUCUGAGAAAGUUAGUCGCUGAGGUGAUGUCAUUGUCAAACAAUACAUGUAAAUAAACUGCAAUCAUCAUGGUUCCAAAAUCAUACUAAGAGCAGUCUCGAAAGGAACCAUUAGCUGCAGAGGCAGGGAAAUACAGUGACAAGUUGCUCCCACUUCCUAUAUUUUCUACCCCCCUGAAGAGACAAAGGCUGUUGAGAUGUUAGAUGCCCAAUAAGUAUAUGGGAUUGCGAAAUCCUUCUCAAAACUCUUCAGCCAUGUCCAAAGUGUGAAAAUAGCAUCCUCCAUCACCUUGUUACCAUCAAAAGUGUCAUUUGAGAAUAUUAUUUUAUUCCGAUGCUGCCACACUGACCAUGUGAAGGCCAGCCACCAACACCUCCAUCUAUGAGCGCAAAUUCGAUUAGGCAAACAGAUCACAUGAUGGGAGAAAGUCUGCCACGGUUUCUGUGGAAGAACACCAUUGAUGUUGACCCAUGACAUGGAUUCCCAUCAUAGCGGGAUGAUUCUGUCACAUUGAAAGAAUAGAUGUGCUUCCUCCUCAAGUUUGACUUUGUUUGCAAUCUUUCUUUUAUUAGCCUCCAUGCGAAGAUUGCUAUUUUAGGUGGAAUUCAUAUCUUCCAUAAUUCCUCAUACACCCGCGCAUCCUCCCUUUCAAUUUCCUCUACUGUGAGCACUUUAUAGGCACUGCUGGCUGAAUAUUGGCCGCUAGGUUCUAAUGUCCAAAUCCACUCAUCUUUUCUGUGAGGCUGAAUGCAACUGCCAGCAACAUCGUUUAAGAAACAAUCAGCCAUACCAAUCUCACUAUCAAACAGAUUUCUUCUCCAUUUAAAGUUCCACUCCCACCCAAUAUUAGCCUGUUUUCCCAUUUCCUGUAUAGUCUUGUUUUGUUGGCAUAAGAUCACAUAUAAUCUGGGGUAUUUUGCUAGAAAUGAUGUAUCACUAUGGUUCCAUUUGUCCUCCCAAAACUUGAUUUUCUCUCCAUUCCUCGCCUUCCAUGCUAUCCCUCCCUGCAGUGCAGUCUCAUAUUGGGGAUUAUGAAGAGCUAAUUUGAGAUCUUCCCACCACAAGGAGACAUUAUUGUCUCUUGUUGCUACAUCAAGACCCCUCCAACCGCCAUACUUUGAUUCUAGAAUCCUUGCCCAUAGCUCACCAUUGUGAUGGAAUAAAUUCCAUUUCCAUUUGGCAAGCAAUGCAAGGUUAAACUUGGUGAUAUCCUUUAUUCCUAAUCCUCCUUUGUCUUUAGGGAGACAUACCGUCUAUAUUUUGCAAAAUGUGACAAAUAAAGAGAAAAUGUGUCUUAACAUUGACACGAAAUGAAACUUCAUCAACUAAUCUUCAACUUCUUUAUUUUUAUUUUAACGUUAGUAUUCAAAUAUUGAUGCAAGGAAAAAAAAUUAAAAAUUACACUAAGGUUAAGUACCACAGUUGAAAACUAACCAUUAUUCACAUAAGUAGUUGUGAUUUUAUGUUUUUUAAUCAAGUUAUUUAAGAUUUGAUUUGUAAUUAAUCUUUGAGUAUGAAAUAAAUUAUAUUAAAAGAAAAAUAAUUAUCUUUGGUGGACUUAUGAUCUUCGGUAAAUAUUUAUCAUUAUUUUUAGUGGAAAUAAUUUCAUACCAAUAACAUAUUAAAAAAAAAACAAUAGCAGUUGUCUUUGGCGUGUGUGGGGUGUGAGUGUAUCAUAUGUCGCUUCAAAUUGAUCAUUAUUAGUUUGUGUAAGCGGUAGUUAUGGGACUUCACCUUUUUCUGGGGUUCGUGUAAUUGUAAACUAAAAAUUGGUUGGUGCCACCUAAGUGUAAAAUAUGCAUAUUGUGUCUAUGAUACUCCAUAAUACUUGUAUCAUACAAUUAGUAAUCUAAGAUCCUUCUAAUCUUUUGUUUCCCAGGAACUCUAUAGCUAGAAGAUACAUUUGAUUGG